This 534-nucleotide ribosomal RNA is filed under the name uncultured Pseudomonadota bacterium. RNAcentral describes it as "bacterial SSU rRNA". It matches the Rfam family "Bacterial small subunit ribosomal RNA", at positions 227 to 754 of the family's 1533-position model. Lineage: Bacteria; Pseudomonadati; Pseudomonadota. The record is from RNAcentral.
GUGCCCAGAUGGGAUUAGCUUGUUGGUGGGGUAACGGCUCACCAAGGCGACGAUCCCUAGCUGGUCUGAGAGGAUGACCAGCCACACUGGAACUGAGACACGGUCCAGACUCCUACGGGAGGCAGCAGUGGGGAAUAUUGCACAAUGGGCGCAAGCCUGAUGCAGCCAUGCCGCGUGUAUGAAGAAGGCCUUCGGGUUGUAAAGUACUUUCAGCGGGGAGGAAGGGAGUAAAGUUAAUACCUUUGCUCAUUGACGUUACCCGCAGAAGAAGCACCGGCUAACUCCGUGCCAGCAGCCGCGGUAAUACGGAGGGUGCAAGCGUUAAUCGGAAUUACUGGGCGUAAAGCGCACGCAGGCGGUUUGUUAAGUCAGAUGUGAAAUCCCCGGGCUCAACCUGGGAACUGCAUCUGAUACUGGCAAGCUUGAGUCUCGUAGAGGGGGGUAGAAUUCCAGGUGUAGCGGUGAAUGCGUAGAGAUCUGGAGGAAUACCGGUGGCGAAGGCGGCCCCCUGGACGAAGACUGACGCUCAGGUGC